ACUCCUACGGGAGGCAGCAGUGGGGAAUAUUGGACAAUGGGCGAAAGCCUGAUCCAGCCAUGCCGCGUGUGUGAAGAAGGUCUUCGGAUUGUAAAGCACUUUAAGUUGGAGGAAGGGUUGUAGAUUAAUACUCUGCAAUUUGACG
This 145-nucleotide ribosomal RNA is filed under the name uncultured bacterium. RNAcentral describes it as "partial 16S ribosomal RNA". It matches the Rfam family "Bacterial small subunit ribosomal RNA", at positions 335 to 474 of the family's 1533-position model. The record is from RNAcentral.